RNAcentral lists this long non-coding RNA (1205 nucleotides) under Salvia miltiorrhiza (redroot sage). RNAcentral's name for it is "long non-coding RNA (SMIL_LNC005876)". Lineage: Eukaryota; Viridiplantae; Streptophyta; Magnoliopsida; Lamiales; Lamiaceae. The record is from RNAcentral.
CGAAGCAAGCUUGAAGAGGUUUGAAUUCAAUCACUUAAGGUGGGGUUUACUUUUAUCUGUAAGCGUAGUUGUUACAUGGUUAUAAUCAUUGUUGUGUUGUGCGUCAUUCAUAUGAACUAAUGGGACCCACAAGGGGUCGGAUCCACAAGGGAUCAAAGAGCUGAACGGCCCACAAGGGGUCAGGUCCACAAGGGACCGAGACUAGUCUCACAAGAUGUCAGCUAAGUGAAAAAUUAUAAGAGUUCAACAUGUUAUGAUUCAUUACACAAUUGGUUAUAACUGCUUGCAGUGUUUACCCCACUGAGUGUGCUUGCACACUCAUACCCUAUUAUUUAUGAUUCUUUUCAGGUUAAGGAGUUGACGGCAAGACGGCAGACAUGGAGCUCCACAUUCUCCCGUUCUAUUAUAUGAUGAAGUAUUAUAUGUUGUUGUUUUUGGUAAAUAUAUCUUGCUACUAACCAACUUAAUCUCUUCUAAUUUUGGUGGGUCGAGACUUUAUAUAUAUUGGUUUAUGAUCAUGAAUUUUGAUGACGGCUGUGACCGAUUAUAUAUAUUUUGUUUACCGUAUGUGUAGUUACGAGCUGUGCCUCGAACACGUUAAUUAUAAUAUUAAACUUGAUGGUUUUGCUUGUACUCCACCUUUUUAUAUAUAUAAAUAUGAUGCUUAGAUAAAGUUAUUAUUGAAUGUUGUUUAUAUAACUUACAGCUUCCGUUGCCUUUAAAAUAUAUAUAUAGUGUAUUGGCAGGAAUAUUAUUGUAGUUUAUUAGCUUCCGUUACAUAUUUUUUUAUAUUGGAAAAGAGAAAUAAAAUUUUGAUAAUUUUUCUAUUACACAUAUAGUAAUAUUUAUUAUAUUACUAUAUAAUCAAAAAGGAAAUUCUUUUUUUUCUAUUUUUCUUUAUAGCCUAAUAUUGUAUUGAAAGUGAUAUAAUAUAUUUACAUGCAUUUAUGAGGUUCACUGACUGCUUUUGGUACUCAGCCCUGCAUAUCUUUCUAAAUGUGCAGUUAAGUUGGGAUGAAGAUGGAAGUGUGCUGAGCUGGAGCUUUUUGUUAAUGUAAAUAGUGAUAGGCUCAAGAUGUUGUGUCUUCAUACAUAAUGUCCAAUGAUGUACUCCGCUGCAACACUUUAUUACUCUUAUCACUUUUGACGUGUUGUAGAAUGUUUCAAAACCUUCACCUGUGUAUGAAAUUGACAAUCUUGGUUAU